This 57-nucleotide microRNA precursor is filed under the name Oreochromis niloticus (Nile tilapia). RNAcentral describes it as "microRNA oni-mir-10695 precursor". Lineage: Eukaryota; Metazoa; Chordata; Actinopteri; Cichliformes; Cichlidae. The record is from miRBase by way of RNAcentral.
CACUGAGGAUGGAAGCACAUAAUGCCAGAGCCAAAUUAUGUGAUCGGUCCCAGUGCC